Long non-coding RNA from Nyctereutes procyonoides (raccoon dog), 298 nucleotides. RefSeq lists it as uncharacterized. The record is from RefSeq and is a predicted model, not a curated record. Lineage: Eukaryota; Metazoa; Chordata; Mammalia; Carnivora; Canidae. The transcript is spliced from 3 exons.
GGAAAACAAAAUGCAUGUUUACUGGUGAAAGAAUCGUCCAGAGCUGCUGGAGACAGGGAGAGUGUGAUUGACAACGAAGUAUCAAUAGACACAGGCAGAGGAUGCAGAUGCCUUUAAUAUGACUUGUGUGCCCACUGAAGGCAGUCAGGCAGAAACAUGAGUUUGGUUUCUGCAAAACACAUGCUGAGUCACUUUCUUGCGGCUGUUGAUAUUCAAAAUUGUCCUGUCAUCACCUAGGUCUUUGCUGUUGUUGUUCGGUUCACCCAAGGAGAAAAAAAAUUGAAUUGAGCAACAGAAG